This is a long non-coding RNA of Bacillus rossius redtenbacheri, 3569 nucleotides long. RefSeq lists it as uncharacterized. The transcript has 2 exons. Lineage: Eukaryota; Metazoa; Arthropoda; Insecta; Phasmatodea; Bacillidae. The record is from RefSeq and is a predicted model, not a curated record.
GGUAGUCUUCCCAGGUGUUCUAGUUAGUUGUUUAGUAAAUUUGACUUCAAUAACGAGCUUUUGUUAUGGUAGGCGCGGCAGGGCGCGCGAAUUUAAGCGCAAGUGAGUGGUGACUCGGGGCUCACUCAGGCGGAGGCUAUGCGUCUCACCUGUGGUCACGAGUUGUUAGUUCGUUCGUGAUGUAGGAAUUCAGGCUCACUCAGGCGGAGGCUAUGCGUCUCACCUGUGGUCACGAGUUGUUAGUUCGUUCGUGAUGUAGGAAUUCAAGCUUUCGGGCGGAAGCUAUGGUCGACGCCAGAGGCCCCGAGUCGUUUAAUUUAAGUUAGGUCAUAAUGUAGUCGUCAAGCUUUCGGGCGGAGGCUAUGGCCCUCGUCAGGGGUCACGCGUCAUAGUUUUUAAAAUGUAAUGUUCGUUCGGGAUUUCAAGGGCAGGAGAGGCCCCUACGUUAUUUUUUUUAAAGUAAUCGAUCAAGAAAGGCUUUUCGGAAAAUGUGAGUAUGGACUUAUCUUUGUUUUAAUUUUAAGUAUUAAUUAUGAUUUGAGGUAUUCGGAAGGACUAGGGAAGUGUUUAGUGAAGUUCUCUCAUUCUCUCUCUUGUAAGGUCGUUCAAUCGUUAAGGAAGUAAAGAGAUUAUUGUUUUAAAUUGUAAUCCCGCUAUUUAAAUGUUCUUUAAAAUGAUGUUGAGUAUUUGACUUUAAGAAUAAAAUAAUUUUAAUUAAGUAUUAUGUUAUUUUGCAAAAUCUCCUUAGUUCAGCUCUCACCAGACAUCCUGUACGGGAUGACGAACCUAUGAUCCUAGGUACAGUAAAGUAUUUUAUGAAGUUAAGACUAGUUGAUGCCAAGCGAGUUGUUUCUAUGUAAAGAGCUACGAUUCUCUCCCCCCUCUGAAAGUGAGACGUGACAGAAAUGGCGGUGGCACCGGCUAGGUGCACGUGACAGAAAUGGUGGAGGCGCCGGGUAAGUUCUAUUUCUGGAGAGAGAGAGAGGUAGAUUUUUAUGUUUAUUAUUAAGUUAGUUUCAGCUUCUGAUAGCAGGUUAUUAAGAGUUUACUUGAGGAGAGGAUUACGGAAUUUUAGUCUAUAGUGGAGGAAGUCUUUGAGAUUUUUUUUUUGACGUAACAGAUGUUUAUUUGAGUAUACUUGUAAGGAUAAAGUUUAUAGUGAUAAGUUGUUUUAAGUCGUUGAAUUUAUUGUAGAUUUAUAUCGGGGAUUAUUACGUGAGGAGAAUACGUUAUAAGUUAAAUGCUUAUUAGAGAUAAUGCAAGUGGUUUAAUUUAAUUGAAAUUAAUUUUAAGAUUGUAGGUUAAGAGAAUUAUAAUUUAAAAUAAAGUUUUUUGUCGUAAAUAGGAAUUAUUUUCAAGUGAAGUUUGUUUUGUUUUCGUGCGCGUAGGAGACGAGACGUACGAAUUAAAUCAGUCGAGGGAAGGAUAAACGUUAGAAAGGAAUUAAAGAGAAAACGAGAGUUUAUGUAAAAGAGAGUUAUAGAAUUUAUAGUGAUGUUUUGUUUUAAUUAGAAAAAUGUUGAGAGUUGUUUCAGAACGACACGUCAGUGGACGUGGCAGAGUGAACACGUGACGGGGAGGUGCUGAGACCUAGCGGAGAACGGAGGAACCGCAAGCGAGGGUUGGCGCACCUGAUGGAAUUCGGUGACGUCACGGGCUCAUAAGGAGACGUGGACAGGCCGUGACCUUGUUUUGAUCAGCUGUACGGUAACUUAGCGAUAAGAAAAUAGACUAUUGGUUAAAUAAAUUUAAAUUUAAGUGUGUUUUAGGAGAAGAGGAACUUUCAGUAUAUUCCUUAAGAUGAGCUGAGCAGCAGUCCAGUUUACAAGAUGACAAGAGUUCGAGAGACAAGAUACAAGAUCACUGAAACAAGAGCCAAGACUGAAGAUUCAAGAGAAGAGAAAGCUGGCAGCCAUGGACUUACAAGUGGAGAUUAAUAAGGUCAUGUAAAGUUUUAUUUUUUUUAUGGAAGACAGUAACUGGAGUUUUUUUUUUGUUAUAAACAUUAUUUACAGAACUUUUUAGGUUAUAGUAAUGUAAUGGAACUAGUGAGUUGUGGUAGCUGUCAAAAAGAACUAAUACCUUAAGUUUAAUUUUUAAAGUUAAUUUUCUUAAUUUACAGAGGGAUUAGUAGUUUUUUUUAAACCUUAUUUAGGUUGGAAUUUAAAUACAAUAGCUUAUUAUAAAUGUGUACGAACAGUUCAAGUUCACAGUACUGAUAGGUAGGUCAGAUGAUCUUAUUGAUUUUGAUGAUUUGUUGUUUUGAGUUGAUUUUUAAGUGUUGUGAAUUAGACAAUGAAAUAGUUCUGAAAACUUAAAUUAUUUCAAGCUAAGAAAUAGUAAAGUUAAUUGUAACUCAAAGGACACCAGAAUUUAAUUUUUUUUUGAAUUAGUAAUGUUUGAAAAUUUUAUACUUUACAAGAAAGGUUAUAAACAAACAGAUCGGAUGGAACAAGGAUGCAGUAAAUCACAAUUUCAUUUAGAAUUAUUGAUUAGCUUUUGAGGUUAUGAAGUAAAAGUAAUUAUAGUUUAAAAGUUUGAAUAAAAAAAAAUGUUUUUUUUUUAUUUGUUUGAAAUAGAAAGUUUAAAAGUUAAUUAGUCAUGAUCUAGGUGGGUGAUGGGGUGGGAAUUGGCCACUCGUUUUCCCUAUAACCUCCCUAACAUGGCCUUCUAUUACAACUAACAGAAAUAAAGAAGAAGAAAAAUGAAGAAUUAUUAGUUAGAAUGUUUCUUUCAUGAAGAUACCUGAUGAACUUUUACUGUCUGGAAGAAUAGAAGCAAGGUUAGUCAGAUAUUUUUACUCAGAAGAAGAAGAAGAUAAAGCAGUUUUAUGACUCGACAAGCCAGAGAUUGGUGUUUCCCCUCUGCGCUUCUAUUGACUACGUUGUUUACUCUCAUGGGAUAGCUGGUUCGGCACCAUGGAGAGAGAUUGGUGGGCAUUGUGGUUGCCCCCAGAAGAAAAGAAGAGUAGAAGAGGUUAUGGGUGGGUCAUGUGAACUGACCUUCAACCCAGUUACUUCGUGGGGACUAUUUGCUGUAUAGAGAAGAUCAAGACUCAAGAGUUAGGGAAAAUCAUUGGAGGUCAUGUUUCCCUUCCUUAAGUUUUUCCUAUCAAAUUAUUUGCCUGAUUAGAUUAUGCUAAGGGUGGGAUACUUUAUGUUAGCAGUUGAAUUAAUUAAUUUUAUUUUUUUGUGUGUUUGCAUCCUUGCCCAUCGAUUGCAGUUUAGUAGUUAGUUUUGUAUUUGUCAGGCGUGAUGGUAAUGCCUGUUGAUGAUGUUUCAGAAUUGUAAUCUGUUCGUGAUGAGGAUGGCACAACUCCGAAGCAGAUGUGGGGAGAAGUUGUGAGCUGCCCUGGAAGCCAGUCCAGUAGCUGUUGGAGUUGAGUGGUGUUUGCUGAUGGCCAGCCCAGGGAGCUACUCUUCUCGACAACACUGACUUCGAGGAGUUGCACCAACCUUCACGAGAUAAGAGUUUAAUUAAUUUGAAACACUGAUAAUUUUGUAAGGACACUUAAUUUUUUUUGAAGAACGAAAGAAGUAUGGUAAUAAACGGAAACCGAAAAAAAAAAA